Ictidomys tridecemlineatus (thirteen-lined ground squirrel) is the source of this 72-nucleotide non-coding RNA. NCBI's taxonomy places the organism in Eukaryota, Metazoa, Chordata, Mammalia, Rodentia, Sciuridae. The record is from Rfam.
UGGGUUGUGGCUCAGUGGUAGAGCACUUGCCUGGCAAGUGUAAGGCACUGGGUUUGAUUCUCAGCACCUCAU